GGUUUGUUUUGCUUCUUCCAGUACCCGAUGGCUCCUCGCCUCCCACAUCUCGUCGUCGCCCCCAAGAUCGGGAUCCCGCCACAUUCGCGAUAGUCGUCGAGGUUGGAUCAGAGGAAAUUUAUAUUGUUGAUCGAGACAUUGGAGUUCUUGAUGCUGCUGCUACUGGGGAAACAGAGUAUUGUUGGUCGACCGGCUUCAAGUUAACACCAGCAGAAAAUUUUGCGAGAGCUGCUUUCUGCACUGAAUGCCACCAGUUUGAAUAUUUCCUCGAUUCUGAAACCCAAGAUGGACAUGGGUUCCUCAUCCUCUGUUGCUGCUACAGCUGCCUCGGCAGUUGAGGCGCCGGAGCUGGGUAGUCAUGGGGGAGGAGAGGCCGGCCUUCUCGAAGCUGGACUCGACGUCGGUGUUGUUCUGGAGGACCGCGUAGAGGCCGGCGAUGAGAUGAAGAAGUGGACGCCCGGGCCCACCUUCUCGUACUCCUGCGGUUGCACCGUGAACGCCAUCUCCGGCGAGAGAUAGUGCCAGGGUUUUCUGUGCCGGACGGAGCCCGGAGGGUUUUUGAUAGCGGGUUCCAGUGUUUGCUGGGUUGAGGCGGAAGUCGACGAGGCCUUUGAAGAGGGGAGGGGAGGGAAGUGCGACAAAACAAAGCUUCUCCGUGGUGAAUAUGAAUAAUACUUACAGAACGUUAUCAUUUCAUAACUUAGACUAUCG
This is a long non-coding RNA of Musa acuminata AAA Group (dessert banana), 711 nucleotides long. RefSeq lists it as uncharacterized. The record is from RefSeq and is a predicted model, not a curated record. NCBI's taxonomy places the organism in Eukaryota, Viridiplantae, Streptophyta, Magnoliopsida, Zingiberales, Musaceae. The transcript has 3 exons.